Molecule: long non-coding RNA, 219 nt
Filed under: Elaeis guineensis (African oil palm)
Lineage: Eukaryota; Viridiplantae; Streptophyta; Magnoliopsida; Arecales; Arecaceae
Description: long non-coding RNA (EGUI_LNC022862)
Source: RNAcentral
UCUCUCUAUAUAUAAAUAUGUAUGUAUGAAUGUAUGUCUGUAAUUUUUUUUGAGUUCAAAUCUUUCAUGAUACAUCUUUUGUAGUAUUACCAUGGAUAAUUGCCAUAUUAUUCAUUUUGAAAUUUAGACAAUUACUACUCAUUACGAAAAUUAGCAUGACCAUGAUCGAUGCCAUACAUGACGUAUGCUUCUGAUGAACGGUAGUAAUCGUCUAUGUCC